Molecule: ribosomal RNA, 268 nt
Filed under: uncultured bacterium
Lineage: Bacteria
Description: partial 16S ribosomal RNA
Rfam family: Bacterial small subunit ribosomal RNA
Source: RNAcentral
GCAAGUCGCACGAGAACGCUUCAGCUUGCUGAAGCUAGUAAAGUGGCGCACGGGUGAGUAACGCGUGGGUAAUCUAUCUCUGAAUUGGGGAUAACAUUGCGAAAGCGAUGCUAAUACCGGAUAAUAUCCAUUAAACCCCGGUUUUUUGGAUCAAAGGUGGCAUCUACAUGUAAGCUACUGUUUGGAGACGAGCCCGCGUAGCAUUAGCUUGUUGGUGGGGUAACGGCCUACCAAGGCAACGAUGCUUAGCUGGUCUGAGAGGAUGAUC